CCACAAAUGAAUACUAAGUAGAAUAUAUUUGAUGCAAGCAGGAAGAUAAGAGUGUUGAAAGGAAUAUUUUCGGAUUGCCACCAUAAGAUUAAAAAAAAUAUAUUAUUGUUUUCAGCUCUAUUUAUUUUGCUUAUUAAAAGACAUUCAAAAUGAACAACCUAGCUGCAAAAACAGUUGUUUAAGAUGGAAAAACAUACAAAAAAUUGUACUUUUUGAAUAUGCAUGUAUAGAUAGAAAAGGGAUAGACAAAGAAUCUAAAGCUACUGAUUCCAUUUUUUCGCUUCAAUUCCACUAUAAUUGGCAAGGGAAAUGAAGCUGAGGAAUUUCCGGCCACAACCCUGUGGGAAAUUUUGAAGUCAAGGAAAAGUUUGAGCAAGAUCAAAUACAUAACUAGAAAAAAAUAGGGUAUUUCUCUAAAGAUCAAGGAUACCAUAAAGAUGUUCAUAGAUCUGCCAAAAUAAUGCAGUAAAUAUCAGAGUAUGUGUCAUCUUCGAAAAACAAUGGGCAACGCCGCUAUUUUUGACAAAGCAUAAAACUUACAGACGAGAAAGGGGACGAUAUCUGGACCCUAGGCUUGGGCGACUCCGUCGUUUGAAAACGGGACGGCGGUGGCUGGAUACGGGCUGUGCAGAGGGAGGCCGCAGCACAUUCGUCGUCACCGAGGAGGAAGGCGACACCGCCUAGAUGUGACGGCGGAGUCGGUGGUUUGGACUAGGGAGAGUGAUUGAGAGGGAGAAAAUCGGCGUCGUCGCUAAACCACCGGAGGAGAAAAAGGAGAGUGAGCAUCUGGUUUGAGUGUGUUGAGCGGCGCAUUUGGAAGGAGGAGGAAGGUUUGGUUGGGAGAAGAAAACCGAGGGAUGUAGCAGAAGACAGAGGAAGGUUUGGGGUAGAAAAGAAACGAGGGAGAAGAUGAAGGGAGUAGCGGCGCUGAUUCAUCUUCAAACCCUAAAAUGAGAGAGUAUUUGAGCAAUGAACCCUAAAAAGGUGUAGAAGG
RNAcentral lists this long non-coding RNA (994 nucleotides) under Salvia miltiorrhiza (redroot sage). RNAcentral's name for it is "long non-coding RNA (SMIL_LNC006965)". Lineage: Eukaryota; Viridiplantae; Streptophyta; Magnoliopsida; Lamiales; Lamiaceae. The record is from RNAcentral.